RNAcentral lists this long non-coding RNA (4879 nucleotides) under Sus scrofa (pig). Its description in RNAcentral is "lncRNA (ENSSSCG00000056986.1)". Lineage: Eukaryota; Metazoa; Chordata; Mammalia; Artiodactyla; Suidae. The record is from RNAcentral.
AAUGUGAAGUGAUGAUGAGGAGGAGAUGUGGAUGUUUAGGGCUUGGAGGCCUGCAAGAUGCAUCAAAUUACAGAAUGAGACGGCGAUGAGACGACGUCCUGGCGUCCUGGAUGCAGUAGGGGGGUGCAUGUUGCGGGGAGCUCUGCUGUGUGCACAGGACCAGAGCACAUCCCAACUCAGCCUCUGCCUGCAUGUCUGCUUCCUUGGCCUCAACAUUCCUACCUGUAAAUGGGGAUUGUAACCCACACCUCAGGGGUGCCAGGUUCAGAUGAUAUCGAUUCAGCUCUGGUGCCUCAUAAAUUAGUCUUUGCUCACAAAAUAGAAGGGAUUGUGGAGUGCACAGAAGUAGCCCCACCUGUCACACAUGGGAUCUUUUGGCUUCAAGAAACAUAAUUCCCAAAUCAGUCACUAAAUAAUAAGGACAAUUUGUUAUUUCCUAAAUCAAGGAAUCCAGGGGGCAUUCCAGGCAGCUUUGGGUUUGGCCAGUGCAGGGGUCACAUCUCAUCAAGAACCCAGCUUUCUUCUGGCUUGUGGCCUUGCUGUCUUCCUUUCCUUGGCUGGAUCCUUAGGCUUUCCUGCCGAUCAUCGCAGGAAGGUUCUAUAGCUCCAGGUAUCACAACUUCAUGCAAUAGUGUCCAGAAGCAGAAGGAGAAGAGAAAUGUGUGUUUCUUCUCUUUACUUCUUCAUAAGGUUCGGGACACCUUUCCCAGAAGCCUCCAGCAGAUUUUUUUCUCAGAUUACUUCAGCCAUAAUUGUAUCCCAGGAUUAUUUCUAGAUCAGCUGUUGGCAGAAGAAAGAGUCUGACGAUGAUGGGUUAAUCCCACCAGAGUCACACCCCCUGGAGACAGGUUUGAAAUAGGGGUGUUUUGGCUUGUCUCAUGAUUGGUGGCAUUGCUGGCAUGGAGGAGGGCGGGGCUAGGGGUGCUGGAUGUCUCCAGUGGGUAGAACAGUCCACACAGGACAAACUGGUUAUUCACACGUGUAAGGAGCGAUUUUGAUCAUCUUAGCCUAGAACCUAUGUCAGCUUUAUUUCCAAACAAAAUGUUUUUGCAAGAUUUUAAUGUAUAUUGAAUAGGCUGUUUAUGUUCUAGUAUCUCUUUCAUUUUCCUGCCCUUCUGUUGUGGGGUGACCCCUGAGCUUGCUUCUCUCACAUCCAGACUUUCCCUCCAGAUGUUGGCAAGGAUCUAACUGUUCAGUGUGUCUUUUUGUGUGCCUGUUCAUUUGCAUACUGAAAUAUGAUUUUUUUAUUACAAAUUUUCUUUUAUUUUUUUUAUAACCCAGUUAGAGCAUUAUAAUGGGUUUUUAAGUACUUGUGAUAUUGUAGGUUAAUUAUUUAUGACUUUCAUUUCAGGGCAGUAGAAAGGUCAUUAAGUACCGUUGUUCUUUGGGGAGGUCAUUGGGUCUGAUGGAUUGAGAAGCACUGGCUUGAAUCCAUCCAGAUUCACAUCCUGGGGCUGGGAGGGGAGUCUACCUGCUCUGAAACUCAUGGCUUCCUGGAACUUGAGGCACCUCAGAGUUGGGUUGAGAUUAUAGGCUGGAAUGGCUGUUGGCUUGGCACCCGUGAUGUCAGAUUAUCGCCCAUGCACGGUCCCUUAGCUGCCACCGAGUCCCAGUAAAUGUCUGGGAGGGAGACACCAAGAGGGCACUGAGGCAGGGCUGGGUUUGUGUUUAGCCCUGACACCCGACGGUGGAAACCCACCACAUUCAUGGCCGGUCAACUGCGGGUCAUAGGGCUGCAUCAGUUUACACCUGGGAGAGAACUUGCUGGUGGGCUUGAAGGACCAGCUUAUCUCUGAGCACAACCCAGAGAAGACAGGAGGGCAGCAAAGUCUGACCACCACCCAGCAGAGACAGAUGGUUCUGGAAGAGGCCUCUGGAGGCCAUCCCCCACAUUCAGUCACUCAGCCAUCCAGCUAACAUUUACUGAGGAUCUAUUAGGUGCCACGAAUCACGUUCCCAGGUGUGACGGUUUGAGAGCCAUCAGCCCUGAGCCUGCCCUUAGGGACUUCACAUUGGCCAGAGAGAGGAGCUGGACACCUGGGUAUUCUGCUUAAGUGAGCUUUAACCGGAGAAAAGGCUAAAUUUUGGUAGUUACUUUAUUACAGAUUAAAAAUAGAAGUUCAGAUGUUUGACUCUUACCCUUAAAUGUUAUUACUUAAUCCAUCCAGAAAUAUGUAUUGUGCACCUAUGAAGCGCCCAUCCUCAUAGUGAGUGUGGAAAUCGCACAAACUGACCAGAUAGCAUCUUGGGGUGAAUUGCAAAAAUCAACGCUACCGUGAAAGACUCGAAAGAUGCAGGGGUGGGGAAUCCAAUCACAUCUCCAUUGCAUUUGCCUGUUUGGCCCAUAGAGAGGCAGAUGGUCUAGGAGAAUGGCUGUGGGUUAUUAUAAACCUAGUCAGGUGGCGACUUCAGUUGCAGCUGCUGUUGCAGACGUAUUAUCUCUGAGUAGAUCAGCAACCCCCCUCCACCUCCUCUGCAGCCAUUGACCUGGCAGAUGCUUUAUUUCUUCUAGACCAAUUUGCAAAGACUAUGAGAAGCAGUUUGUUUUUAUGGCUCAGAGCCAACAGCACACACAUUUAAAGUCUUGCCUCCGAUCUAUGCCAACUCGCUUUUUGCCACGAUAUCAUCUUCAGAGAUUCUUGAGCAUCUUUUCAUUGUACCAGACAUCACCCUGCUGCAAUCUAUUGUUGGCAUUCCACUCUUGUGACCUGAUGGGCAAAAAAGUAGCAAGCACACUAAAUGCUUUAUUUAGUGAACCCUAGCCUUGGUUCCAAUUUUUGUGCGAGGCAGAAGAGCCCAGUCAAGAGACAGAAACCACGCCAGUUAUCUUAACAAUAAAAAUAGUAUAUUUGUGUAAUUGUUAACUAGGUAUUGAAGAAUUUAAAUGCAAAGAGAGGCAGGGAUCAGCAAACCUCUGUUCAGAGGUGAGCCGGCUGUCUUUGUAAAUCAAGUUUUAUUGGCACAUGGCCAGGCCCACUUGUCUACAUACUGUCUGUGGCUGCUUGCACACUCCAAGGGCAGAGUUAGAUAGUUGCAACAGAGAUCACGUGGCUUGCAAGUUUAAAGUAUGUACCGUAUGACUCUUAAAAAAUGCCACCCCUACACUGAGGUGUUACAUAGGUGGCAACUACAGGAAUCAGCUACCACUUUAGGGCUGGGGAACCAAGGGAAGAGGUUGUAGUGAGUAAAACAGAAGCUUGGAAGAGAGACCUUGUAGAAAGGGACUGUGAGAAUGAGAAACACCCAGCCCUGGCUGGUGGGUGCUGGCAUGCCUGAGCGCACCAAGGUGACAGUGAUGGGGACAGAAAAAACAAACAGGAAUAUGCAGGAAAACAGGGACGGGAAGCAGACAGGACAGAGCUCAUCCUUCCUUCUGUCUCCAGGCCUUCCUCUUGCACUCCGAUAGAGUGCUUACCAAGCCCAAAUAUCCACAGAGACAGCCCCAGGCGCAGAGUAGUGUGUAGAAGGGAGGGAGGGUUCUCAGCAGAGAGACGGUAGCUUAAGAACCGGUAAAAGGCAUCCCUUUCCUUAGUCAUCCAGGCCAGUGCGUCUAGAGAUGGAAGGCAGGGUGUGUAUCAAAUGGCAGUGUCUUCCUGAUUGUGGAUUCCAUGGUGGGUCUCAGUUUCCUUAUCUGUAAAAUGGUAAUAAAAAUAGGAAUAGUAAUAAUAAUAUGUCUGUUAAUGAAUAUAUCUGGUUGCAUUCAGUCCUGACACCCAGCAGCAGACCCCAGCACACCCCCAGCUGGUGGCUGCUGGAGAUCAGAUCUGCGUGGAUUUGUGACUCUAAUUGGCUCUCGCAGGCCAACACAUGAGAGGGCUGUUUUACCCACUGUCACUGUCACAGUCUUGGGUCUGAUGUGCUAUCCUGCUAAUGUUACUGUCCCUUUCCCUAGUCACUGUCACAGGUUCUGGUGCACUCAUUCAGACCUUAUCAUUGUCUGAGCCUCUCCAGGUAGCAGCCUUCUUCCCUGGUCUGUUCUCCCCACACACCUGAGGUCAGGGGCCUCGUCCAUCCUGGUCUCUCCUGCUUCCUCAGAGCACAGACCAGGGCCUGGCAUAGAGAGGGUGCCCAGCAAAGAGUCCAUUCAGAACUGCCUUUAACCCUCAACCACUUGUUUUGGAAGGUUUCAUCAUCCCUAAGGCCAGGUGAGGACACUCAAGCCCAGAGAGGUUAAGUCACCCGCCCGAUGUCACAAAGCAAUGAGUGGCGCAGCUGGGCUUCAGGACCUGCUCUCUCGUCCUGUGCUCUGGUUCCAACCUUGAGCACCCUCCUUUCCUGUUUUAUCUUCCAGGGGCCUUUCUUAGGCCAGAUUGCGCCCAGUUCACAGAGGGCCCACCCUGCCCCAGACAGCACAAGAGUUUGCCCUAGACCGCUCACCAUCCUUUUCAAUUUGAUAAUCGAACGAAGGCCAUAAAUCCAGCAAUAUGUGUGUGGUCAGCUGCCCCAUUCUUUUCCUAAGAAGCAGAUUUAUGGGGCAUCCACACUCAGGGAUGAUUAUUCCCCAAUAGUUUAUAGUAUCAAGGCUCCUUUAUUUUCCCCCAAUAAAUCUAAUUUAUAUGGACUGGCAGAUUAAGCAGUGCAUUUCCUGGCGUCGGAAGACCGUGAAUCAUUCACAGUGCUUUCAGAAACUUGAGAUUAAGGUUUUGCAUAAUGCAAAUCAGGAAGAGAAGAUGUUUGCUCUGCCCCACUGUGGAUGCAAUUAGAGCAAUGAACACCAGGAGAAAUUCAUUUUCUGAGGACAGAGAAAGGUCUGCUUGGUAUGCAAAAGAGCAGAGUUAUUUGCAACACAGGAGCCUGGAACUUGGUUCGCAAAGCACCCAGUGACUUUGAUUUGCGGCUUUAAAGAAUUUAAGGAUGAAUAAAACAUUGAAUAAAUUUU